AAUAAUCCAGACCUUUGCCAACAGUGUUAGGAUUGAUCCAGCCCUCCUGUUUGCCAUCUUAGGUGAGGCUACAAGGUGCAAUCCCAGGGAACUAAAGAAAUGAAUCCCAGAGGCACCUUCAGCAGGGGAGCCAGCUCCCUCCAGCCCUGCUUCUCCGGGUCCACCCCAUCCUCAGUAUCCAGCUUCUCUCUCUUGCUUGCCCCCUCCUAGAAAUUCUCACCAUAGACAAGCCCCAGUCUCACAGUUGUCCCUCCAAGAUGCCAGAGAAAUUGGAACUCCCUUUCAAACUGAAAGACACCUUUUUGUAGAUGGUUCUUCUCAAGUGAUAAAAGAGAAAAGGCCUAACAGGUACUCAGUGGUAGAUGGAGACACCCUCACAAAAAUAGAAUCAGGAAGAUUACCUAAUGACUGCUCUGCACAAACACAUGAGUUGUUUGCACUAAAUCAAGCCUUAAAAUCUCUGCAAAACCAGAAAGGAGCUAUUCAUACUGACUCCAGGUAUGCCUUUGGAGUCAUCCACACCUUUGAAAAUUUGGGCAGAGCGAGGUCUCAUUAACAGUAAAGGCCAAAACUUAGUCCAUAGAGACUUAAUAAUCUAAGUACUAGAGAACUUACAGCUGCCAGAAGAGAUAGCAGUUGUUCAUGUUCCAGGUCACUAGAAGAAUCUUUCCUUCGAGAGCUGAGGGAAUAACAUAGCUAACCAGUAGCCAAACAAGCUGCCUCUUCUCAAGCAGCACCCAUUUUCCACCUAACCCCUUAUCUUCCCGCUCCAGCUGUAGUCCCUAUCUUCUCCCCCAGAAAGCAAGAAAAGCUAGAAGAAAUAGGAGCCAAAGAAAGCCAUGAGGGAAAAUGGGUACUACCAGACAAGAGAGAAAUGCUGUCUAAGCCCCUCAUGUGAGAGAUAUUGUCACAGCUACAUCAAGGAACUCACUGGGGCCCCCAAGCUAUGUGUGAUGCAGUCCUUAGAGUUUAUGGAUGCAUAGGAAUUUAUACCUUUGCUAGACAAGUUGCAGAUAGUUGUAUAUAGUGUGCAGAAAAAACAAUAAACAAACCCUAACAGAAAAUGGGAAUACCACACACCAUGGCAUUCACCCUCAUCAGGGAAAGUAGCAAAGCCUAUUUCCCUGUUGAGAGUCCGAACUGCUCCCUGAAAAGAUAUAGGCCUAUCCCCUUAUGAGAUGCUCUAUGGAUUGCCUUAUCUACAUUCUACUACUGGUCUUCCUACAUUUGAAACAAAAGAUCAGUUUCUCAGAAAUUAUAUACUUGGUUUAUCUUCCACUUUCUCUUCCCUCAUAACUAAAGGUUUUUUAGCACAGGCACCACUCCUACAGUUUCCAGUACACCAACAUCAACCUGGGGACCAUAUCCUCAUCAAAAGUUGGAGAGAAGGAAAACUCGAACCAGCUUGGGAAGGGCCCUACCUAGUGUUUCUAACCACCAAGGCCACAGUUCGAACAGCAGAAAGAGGAUGGACUCAUCACACCCGGGUCAAAAGAGCACCACCCCAUCCAGAAUCAUAGACAGCUAUCCCAGCGCCAACUCCAACCAAGCCAGUGUCCAUCAAUGUGCUUGAUCAUAGCUAAAAUGCUCCACGUGUAACUCUUGCUUUUCUACGUCACCCCAGCCAGAGAAAUCAAGAAUGACAGAUGGAGAUACAGAUGGUAACUGAACCAACUUUGUCUCUGAACCGCUUUAUUAUUCUGUGGCUUUGGGCAACUUACUUAAUCAUCUCUGUGCCUGUUUCCUCAUCCACAAAAUAUGAACAACAAGAAUGAUUAAGAGUAAAGCCCCUGACCAGGUAUAGUGGCUAACACCUGUAAUCCCAACACUUUCGGAGGCCAAGGCGGGUGGAUCACCUGAGGUCAGGAGUUCAAGACCAGCCUGACCAACAUGGAGAAACCCCAUCUCUACUAAAAAACACAAAAUUAGCCGGGCGUGGUGGCACACAUCUGUAGUCCCAGCUACUCGGGAGGAUGAGGCAGGAGAAUCACUUGAACCCAGGAGGCGGAGGUUGCAGUGAGCCGAGAUCGCACCAUUGCACUCUAGCCUGGGCAACAAGAGUGAAACUCCGUCUCACAAAAAAAAAAAGAGUAAAGCACCUAAUCAAAACUACAAUUAGACACCCUCUCAUGCCAGUCAGAAUGGCAAUUAUUAGAAAGUAAAGAAACAACAGGUGCUGGUGAAGUUGCAGAGAAAAAGGAAUGCUUUUACACUGCUGGUGGGAGUAUAAAUUAGUUCAACCAUUGGAAAAGAUAGUACAGCAAUUACUUAAGAGAUCUAGAAGCAGAAAUACCAUUUGACCCAGCAAUGCCAUUACUGGGUAUAUACCCAAAGGAAUACAGAUCAUUCCAUUAUUACAUAAAGAUACAUGCAUGAGUAUGUUCAUUGCUGCACUAUUCACAAUAGCAAAGAUAUGAAACCAACCCAAAUGCCCAUCAAUGAUAAGCUGGAGAAAGAAAAUGUGGUACAUAUACACUAUGGAAUACUAUGCAGCCAUACAAAGGAAUGAGAUCAAGUCCUUUGCAGGGAGAUGGAUGGAGCAGGGAGCCAUUAUCCUCAGCAAAUUAACACAGGAACAGAAAACCAAACACUGCAUGUUUUCACUUAUAAGUGGGAGCUGAACAAUGAGAACACAUGGGCACAUUGGGGGAACAACACACACUGGGGCCUGUCAGUGGGGCAGGGGGAGGGAGAGCAUCAGGAAGAAUAGCUAGUGGAUGCUCAGCUUAAUUCCUGGGUGAUGGGUUGAUUUGUGCAGCAAACCACUAUGGCACAUGUAUACCUAUGUAACAAACCUGCACAUCCUGCACAUGUACCUUGGAACUUAAAAGUUGAAGAAAAAAAAGAAAAAGAAAAAGAAAUGAGUAAAGUCCCUGACACAUGCUGAAGUACUCAAGAGGGAAAUAAUCAUCAUUAUCUAGAAUUUGCUCUAAACUAUUAAAGAAAAAAAGGCACUUGGAGGUAGAGGAGUAGCAACAGAUGAAACAAGAAUAGACAUCAAUUGGUAAUUGUUAAAGCUGGGUGAUUAGGAACAUGGGCGUUCAAGUUUUGAAUGUAUUUGAAAUUUUCCAUAAUAAAAAGUUAAAAUAAAUAUAUACACUUAAAAUAGCACAUAAAAUUACUAUAACAACAAGCCUGACAAUCUGGACCACACCAUCUUCACUCAUUAUAGAACUGCUUUCAUUGAGAAUCAUAAGAAACCAAGUCUACUUGUUUGAGCAAUGUUGUCAGGGAUGCUGUGUAUCCUAUCACACUGGCUUCCAUGGGGAUCCACAGAAAAAUACUUUUUAGGUCUUUAUGCCAGGACAAGCUGGUGUAGUUACUCAUUUCUGAGUUAGGCACUCCGUGAAUCUUACGUUUCUCUUUACAAUCCACUUUAGCAACUACUCCAGACCCUAGUUCUAGAGAUCACCAAUGCCCAUUCAAUCCACAAUUUUACUGCAGUUUGAUUGUGACCUUGCCCUAUGUAUCUCCAUCUGGCUGUUUAUUUGUAUCCUCUAAAAUAUCCUUUGUGUCCAGGGGCAGUGGCUCAUGCCUGUAAAUCUGCACUUUGAGAGGCCAAGGCAGGUGGAUCACUUGAUGCGAGGAGUUCCAGACCAGCCUGGCCAACAUAACAAAACCCUGUCUCUACUAAAAAUACAAAAAUUAGCCAGGCACAGUGGUGCGUGUCUGUCAUCCCAGCUACCAGGGAGGCUGAGGCACAAGGAUCGCCUGAACCCAGGAGGCAGAGGUUGCAGUGAGCCGAGAUCGCACCACUGCACUCCAGCUGGGGUAACAGAGUGAGACUCUGUCAAAAAAAAAAAAAAAAAAAAUCCUUCUUUAUAAUGAACUGGUAAAUGAGUUUCCCUGAGUUCUGUGAACAGCUCCUGCAAAUUAAGCAUACCUAAAAACAGGGCCAGGGGAACUUCAACUUGGAGUGGAUCAGCCAGAAGUUCCAGAGCCUGGACUUGCGACUGGUAUCUGAAGGAGGGGGCAGUUUGGGCACAGAGCCCCCAACGUAUGGAAGCUAAAGCAACCUCCAGGCAGAUACUGUCAGAUUUCAAUUGAAUUACAGGACACCUAGAGCUAGUGUCUGCUACUUGGCAUGUGGGGAAAAAACCCCACUCAUUUGGUCACGAACUUGAUGGCUACUGUGGAGUGAAAGAAUAGAAAAAAAAACUCAGUAUUUUUUUUUCGUCUCACAAAGGGGAAGUUGGAAUAAUCCUUGUGGUGUUGAAAUGGAAUUUUAGGUAUCAAUAGAAACUCAUAGUUUUUACUGGAUAAAUAGAUACCAGUGGGUGUGGGUGUGA
Molecule: long non-coding RNA, 4289 nt
Filed under: Homo sapiens (human)
Lineage: Eukaryota; Metazoa; Chordata; Mammalia; Primates; Hominidae
Description: HSALNT0037457
Source: RNAcentral